This is a non-coding RNA of Bombyx mori (domestic silkworm), 67 nucleotides long. Lineage: Eukaryota; Metazoa; Arthropoda; Insecta; Lepidoptera; Bombycidae. The record is from Rfam.
ACAACAUUCGGACCGUCGGUCUACCGAGCAAUAUCACCUGCUCGGUGGAAGAUCUUCCCUUUGUCGU